RNAcentral lists this unclassified non-coding RNA (368 nucleotides) under fungal sp. RNAcentral describes it as "partial internal transcribed spacer region". The stretch from base 1 to 45 matches the Rfam family "Eukaryotic small subunit ribosomal RNA", at positions 1787 to 1831 of the family's 1831-position model. Lineage: Eukaryota; Fungi. The record is from RNAcentral.
AGUCGUAACAAGGUUUCCGUAGGUGAACCUGCGGAAGGAUCAUUACUAAACAAAUCCAAAAAUAAUGUUGAACCGUGUGGUGAUUAGUGAUUGGUUGUGCGUGGUGCGGAUGAUGAUUGGUGCGCUACGUUGUUGGUGCUUGUGGGUAUGAGAUAGGCAAUGUGCGCACACCGUGUGUGUGUGUUUAUUGCCCAGCCAUCCCCUCGUAUCAGCAGCAUGCAUUUGUUAUCAAUCAGAUUCUUCUCUCACAAACAAUCAAUCACAAAUCACAACAAUUAUAAAACCCAAUCUUGAUGUGCGAAUGGACAACAUAUAACAAAUUAAAUUUAUAAAAAGCAUAACUUUUAACAAUGGAUCUCUUGGCUCUU